RNAcentral lists this ribosomal RNA (254 nucleotides) under uncultured bacterium. RNAcentral describes it as "partial 16S ribosomal RNA". It matches the Rfam family "Bacterial small subunit ribosomal RNA", at positions 524 to 776 of the family's 1533-position model. The record is from RNAcentral.
UACGGGGGGGGCAAGCGUUGUUCGGAAUUACUGGGCGUAAAGGGGACGUAGGCGGCCAACUAAGUCCGACGUGAAAUCCCCAGGCUUAACCUGGGAACUGCGUCGGAUACUGGAUGGCUUGAAUCCGGGAGAGGGAUGCGGAAUUCCAGGUGUAGCGGUGAAAUGCGUAGAUAUCUGGAGGAACACCGGUGGCGAAGGCGGCAUCCUGGACCAACACUGACGCUGAGUGAGCGAAAGCCAGGGGAGCAAACGGG